RNAcentral lists this ribosomal RNA (399 nucleotides) under uncultured bacterium. RNAcentral describes it as "partial 16S ribosomal RNA". It matches the Rfam family "Bacterial small subunit ribosomal RNA", at positions 360 to 773 of the family's 1533-position model. The record is from RNAcentral.
AUUAUUGCGCAAUGGGGGAAACCCUGACGCGGCCACGCCGCGUGAACGAUGAAGGCCUUCGGGUCGGAAAAUUCUGUCGUCAGGGAAGAAUAAAUUGACGGUACCUGAGGAGGAAGCUCCGGCUAAUUACGUCCCAGCAGCCGCGGUAAUACGUAGGGGGCAACCGUUGUCCGGAAUUAUUGGUCGUAAAGGGUGCGUAGGCGGCCUUUUAAGUCAGAUGUGAAAGACCACCGCUUAACUGUGGGAUUGCAUUUGAAACUGAAGGGCUUGAGUGUCGGAGAGGGUAGUGGAAUUCCCGGAGUAGCGGUGAAAUGCGUAGAUAUCGGGAGGAACACCAGUGGCGAAGGCGACUACCUGGACGACAACUGACGCUGAGGCACGAAAGCUAGGGGAACAAAC